ACUAUUUUGGCAGAAAAGUGUAGUGGUUUUAGAAAUCAUAAAUAUAUAAUUUAUUUAUAUAGAUAGUA
RNAcentral lists this transfer RNA (68 nucleotides) under Ostrinia palustralis. RNAcentral's name for it is "tRNA-Leu". Lineage: Eukaryota; Metazoa; Arthropoda; Insecta; Lepidoptera; Crambidae. The record is from RNAcentral.